AUGCAUGUCUAAGUACAACUGAUUACACAUGGCGACUCACGUCGUCAUACCAAGUGAAACCACAGACGGCUCAUUAAACCAGAUAUAACUCCCAGGAUCUGUAGCACCUUUUCGUUGCAUACUUGGAUAACUGUGGUAAUUCUAGAGCUAAUACAUGCCUUUAGAGACUGCGCCAGCAAUGGCGGAGCGCUUUUAUUAGACCAAAACCCUUGGGCACUUGCUUCGGCUUGUGCCACAACAAGCGGUGGUGAAUCUAGAUAACCACGCUGAGCGCAUGGUCCCUCUUUUUUGAGGCUUGUAUCCUCCCAUGGGGACGCCACUAUUUAUAGUAAAGAGAAAGGGACCUGCGCCGCAUCCUCCAAGUGUCUGACUUAUCAGCUGUCGACUUUAGGCCAAGCUCCUAAAGUGGCAAUAACGGGUAACGGGGAAUCAGGGUUCGAUUCCGGAGAGGGAGCCUGAGAAACGGCUACCACA
RNAcentral lists this ribosomal RNA (474 nucleotides) under Sergestidae sp. USNM IZ 1449924. RNAcentral's name for it is "SSU rRNA". It matches the Rfam family "Eukaryotic small subunit ribosomal RNA", at positions 51 to 414 of the family's 1831-position model. Lineage: Eukaryota; Metazoa; Arthropoda; Malacostraca; Decapoda; Sergestidae. The record is from RNAcentral. RNAcentral also lists the same sequence under 1 other name.